UACGGAGGGGGCUAGCGUUGUUCGGAAUUACUGGGCGUAAAGCGCACGUAGGCGGCUUUGCAAGUUAGAGGUGAAAGCCCGGGGCUCAACCCCGGAAUUGCCUUUAAGACUGCAUCGCUUGAACGUCGGAGAGGUGAGUGGAAUUCCGAGUGUAGAGGUGAAAUUCGUAGAUAUUAGGAAGAACACCGGUGGCGGAGGCGGCCCACUGGCUCGAUACUGACGCUGAGGUGCGAAAGCGUGGGGAGCAAACAGG
RNAcentral lists this ribosomal RNA (253 nucleotides) under uncultured bacterium. RNAcentral describes it as "partial 16S ribosomal RNA". It matches the Rfam family "Bacterial small subunit ribosomal RNA", at positions 524 to 776 of the family's 1533-position model. The record is from RNAcentral.